CCUACGGGUGGCUGCAGUGGGGAAUAUUGGACAAUGGGGGAAACCCUGAUCCAGCAAUGCCGCGUGGGUGAUGAAGGCCUUCGGGUUGUAAAGCCCUUUCGGCGGGGACGAUGAUGACGGUACCCGCAGAAGAAGCCCCGGCUAACUUCGUGCCAGCAGCCGCGGUAAUACGAAGGGGGCUAGCGUUGUUCGGAAUUACUGGGCGUAAAGGGCGCGUAGGCGGCUCUGUGCGUCGUGCGUGAAAGGCCUGGGCUCAACCCGGGAAUGGCGCUCGA
This 275-nucleotide ribosomal RNA is filed under the name uncultured bacterium. RNAcentral's name for it is "partial 16S ribosomal RNA". It matches the Rfam family "Bacterial small subunit ribosomal RNA", at positions 338 to 630 of the family's 1533-position model. The record is from RNAcentral.